AUUGAACGCUGGCGGCAGGCCUAACACAUGCAAGUCGAGCGGCUGCACAGAGCUUGCUCGUGGAUUCAGGGGGGGACGGGCGAGUGAUGCCUGGAAACCUGCCUGGCAGCGGGGGAUAGCGUCCGGACGCGGGCGCUAAUACCGCAUACGUCCAGAGGGCGAACGGGGGGGAUCUUCGGACCUCCCGCUAUCAGAUGAGCCUAGGUCGGAUUAGCUAGUUGGUGGGGUAAAGGCCUACCAAGGCGACGAUCCGUAGCUGGUCUGAGAGGAUGAUCAGUCACACUGGAACUGAGACACGGUCCAGACUCCUACGGGAGGCAGCAGUGGGGAAUAUUGGACAAUGGGCGAAAGCCUGAUCCAGCCAUGCCGCGUGGGUGAAGAAGGUCUUCGGGUUGUAAAGCACUUUUGUUGGGGAGGAAGGGCAGCAAGUUAAUACCUCGCUGUUUUGACGGUACCAACAGAAUAAGCACCGGCUAACUUCGUG
This 484-nucleotide ribosomal RNA is filed under the name uncultured bacterium. Its description in RNAcentral is "partial 16S ribosomal RNA". It matches the Rfam family "Bacterial small subunit ribosomal RNA", at positions 29 to 507 of the family's 1533-position model. The record is from RNAcentral.